Molecule: long non-coding RNA, 977 nt
Organism: Cataglyphis hispanica
Lineage: Eukaryota; Metazoa; Arthropoda; Insecta; Hymenoptera; Formicidae
Exons: 5
Source: RefSeq, a predicted model, not a curated record
AUGUGUUGCGUGCUGCGUACUAUAUACAACAAACUAUGUUUCCAACCUUUCUAACCUUUUCGGAAUACUCUAUGAAGAUAUGUUUAAAUGUUUUUUAUUAAUAUUAGAUAAAAUUCUUUAACUAUCAUAAAAUUAUUUUUUUUUUGUUAUUAAAUCAUAUCUGUAUUUAAUGUUGAUAGGAAAAUGAAUCAUGAUUCAUAUUAUUAUGCUUCGUCAUAUCAAGACGAGGACGAAGAUUUUGAUUAUUGGAGUAAAAAUGAAAUGAGAUGCUUUGCUGAUCUCUUUAAUUUGUGACCAUCCUUAUUUAUGUAUUAACUGAUUUUAAAGAUAGCCUCAAAAAACAGAAUGCUUGGGUAGAAAUAUGGAAGAUUGUCAAUAUAGAUGGAUGCGACUGAGGGAACGCUAUUCACAUGAAAAAAAAACAAGAAAAAACAACCACCGGAAGUGGAGCAUCAAAAAGAAAAAUAUUUGAAUUUUUUGACAAUAUGCAAUUCCUAGAACGAUUUGUUAAAAGGAAAAAAACGAUGACCAACAUAUACAACAUGCAAAACAAAAGUGUAUUUCCGGUAAUAGGAUCUUCCAAUCUACAAAAGUAUAUAACACAAAUUUUGGCUCACACGAUGAAAAAGAAAAUAAUUUAUCUUCUCUAAAUGUGACUACUUUAAAUAAACUACCAUUAAUAAAAAGCAUCGUAGAUUUAACAAUUUCUUUGUUUUUAGUAAUGACUCUUUAAGUCCGGAUUUGCACUCAAAUGUAUCUGGCAGCUCUUCAACAUCUGCAGUAAGUGUCUCUGGACAUACGCGGGACAAAGAUUUAAUUGGAAAACGAAUAAAGUCAAAAGGAAAACAUCCCAGCCGGAUGUUCUAGAAAAUGCCAUUGAUAAAGUUACUUCUUUAUUAGAGAACAGAUGUGUUUCAGUUUCUUCAUCUCCGUCAUCUCUAAAGCCGAAAAUGGAAGAAGAUAUGGCAUUUUGUCAA